CAGUAGCUAUAUACAAAGUCAAUGUUUAUUUUUAAGAUUAAAAGCAUGUUAGCAAUGAGAGAGCCCUGGGAUUAAAGUUAGGAAAGUGGUGAGUUCGAGGUCAAGUUUAGAUCCUGACUCUUAUUCUAUGUCUCUGGGCAAAUCGUCAAACCUCGCUGAGCUGUUGUUUCUUCAUCUGUAAAGAAAGAGAGCUCCCGCUCUUCAGGCCCACUUCAUAGGAGCUGUUGUCAGGGAAAUAUUCUGUGAAAUGUUAGUUUUCCAUUGUUCAAACUUCUGUAGAAACACGACUUAUUUGUCGAGGAGGCCCCUGUGGAACGUUAAAUAGUCCUGAAAUCACAAUGAACAGAAUCGCAGAAGGCUUGGCUAUCUCGAUGGAAUCCACCCACCAAAAAUAAGCUGGGAGUGAAUAAAUCCUGAAACAAUUUGGAGCAAUUAAGUGCUUUGAUCACUGGAUAAAGACAGAUGUUACCACACAGCAAAUAUCCUGUGACUUGCUGAAAGAAUCAAACUUGCCCCUGCGUCCAGGUAGAACCCAGUGAAGCAGUUUGGCAUCAUACCUUCCAGCAGCAGGACAGGAGACUGAGGGCGAAAUACCUGGAUGAAGAACUCCUGAGAGAAUUACUGGGAGAAGGGAAGAAGGGAAGGGAUUGGGUCUCUCUCUCUCCUUCCUGCUAAUCUCCACCAAUGAACAGGUGAUAAUCUUGGGAAAACCAAAGGGCCAAGGCCUGGAAAUUCCAUCCAUGUGGGUACCUCAGGCAACAGGCUGAUGGCAAAGUCAACAACAUUUGGGAGGGAAGAGGCACCCUGAAGACAACUCCAAUCCACCUAGGAUAGGCGGGAUGCUUCGCACCGGUACAGAGACACCAGCCUUUGGAAGGCAGCACACAGGUAUCUCUCCAAAGGGCGAGUGGGAGAGAGGACUUCCAGUAAUCAGAAGAUGCCACUCUGGCUUAUUAGGAGAAAGAGGUCAUCUUUAGCAUGUCCCAGCAGGAGGUAUCCCUUCCUCACUGAUUCCUGGGACAGCUUCUUGAAUGGCAAGAUUUGUUUGAAGAAGAUGCGAGCAUCGUUGAAACCCAGGAGAGGAGAAGUAGCCUAUUCUUACUCUUCUCAACAUCAUCUGAAAGGCAGAUUUCCUGUGGUCGUGUUUGACAUCUCCACGGAGAUUUUCCCCACACGAGAGAAAGGCAAAUGACUGAGAAAUCCAGAUUUCAACAUCCGACUUGGACUGUGCAUACCCUUUGGUCCAGUGAUUACACAACUAGCCCCAAGUGAUUACGGAGAGCCAUAUCGGUCAAUUAGUGGCUUUUAUUAAUACUUACAUUGUUCCAGGCACAGGGCUAAGUUCAGAAGAGUCAAGAUAACACAGAAAUGUGAUCCUUGAUGUCAAGACACCCCAAUAACAAUGGAGGAGAUCACCGAAAGAGAGCCAGGUGCCUGUAAGAUGUAGAUGAAGGGGAUGUGGAAACAUCUCAGAGGAAAGGCACUGGCAACAAGGGGAAUUGGAGAAAGUCCUAAGGGGAAUGGCAUUUGCGCUGAAUCUUGAAGGAAUCCAGGGAAGACCAGAGAUACAGAUGAGGAGGGUGAACAUUCUAGGCAUAGGGUACAGUCAUCGAGAAGACAUGGAGUCAGGAGAUAGAUAGAUGCAAGAGGACAGAACAUCACCGAGUAUGUGCAAAGUGACAGAAUAUAAGCAGACUGGGAAGGUAGCAACAGACAAGCCACUGAAGGGCUUUAAAUGACAGACUUUAUGAUUGAUCUUGGGUCUAAUGGGAAGCUCCUGGAGGCUAUCGAGUAGGAGUAUGACAUGGUCCCUUACUCAUCCACACUCUCCUCGAAGACUUUCUUCAACAUUGUUUUGGACCCAGAACCCCCCAGUUGCUGCAGCUACAUACUUGCCUUGGUCAGACCACACUUCAGGUUCUGUUAGGGGCACCCUAGUGUGGGAAGAACAUUGACAAGCUAUUCAGCAUCCAGAGGGUGGGUACCGGAAUGGCAAAGGCCCCCAAAAUCUGCCACAGGAAAGGAGGGUGAGGGACUGGGGAGCUUAGUCAGAAGGAAAGAGUCUUUAGGAGGCAGGAAGGUAUGAGAAUUAUUUUCCUGUUUUUGAAGGGUUGUGAUAUUUCAGAGAACUAUACUACUUCUGCAAAAUCCCAGAAGGCAGAACAAGGCACAAGAGGAAGAAAGUGCCAAGUGACUGAUUUUCCUUUAAGGAAGGAAAGCACAAUGAGCAUGAUUCAAAAGUUGGGGGACUGUCUCACAUGCUGGGCUUUCCCCCUCGCUAGAGCAAGGUUGGGGGCAUAUGGGGUGCUCAGGGAGGAGUAAUAUCUUUGGUAUGGAGGGCUUGUCAUGCCCUCUUAGGGCAGCUUUCCAGCCUCUGACCCUCACCUGACACCCAGCUCUCACUUGUGGCUCCCAGUAGCUGCUAGCAUGCGGGAGCAAGCCACACCCCGGGCAACGGCUUCGACAGGCCGGCUAAACCUUGUGAGGAUAGCCAUCCGGUCGUGGUGGACCCCUGGUGAACCAAGGCUUUGCUCACCCAGCAUGUGAAGACUGCUUUGGCCGAACAGACGGAAGAAACCAAUAAGAAGGUUCAAUGGCUGAGAGGGCGACGCAGCAAAGCACUGUGGAGUGCUUAGGAUGUAUUGGAGCACAAAGGACAACACGGCCAUCCAAUGCAGCUGAGGAAGUCUCCAGGUGUAACCACUUUUCGUGCCAAUGGACCCAGGCUUUCAAUGCCGAGAGAGUGGGACUGUCUCUAUGCAUUGACUUUUCCACUUAAAUCUUCAUGCACAAAUAUCUUUGUGCACAAAAACGCACAAAGACAAUCGUCAUCCUCGGUUACCGAGAGACUACUACCAGAGCAAGGUCAAAAUGACCUUGUAAAUUAUAGUUAAGGAAAGAUCCAAAUUCCAAUAUGGUGGGGAUAAGUCGGCCCGGAGUGUCUCUCAGAUUCUCUGGUUUGGUGAUUCUCUUCUGACGAGAAAUCUUUCUGAUGUAUUUAAUGAAAUAAAUCGUAUUUCCUCCAUGAGAAUUCUCCA
RNAcentral lists this long non-coding RNA (3038 nucleotides) under Monodelphis domestica (gray short-tailed opossum). Its description in RNAcentral is "lncRNA (ENSMODG00000046247.1)". The record is from RNAcentral. Lineage: Eukaryota; Metazoa; Chordata; Mammalia; Didelphimorphia; Didelphidae.